CCUACGGGAGGCAGCAGUGAGGAAUAUUGGUCAAUGGACGAGAGUCUGAACCAGCCAAGUAGCGUGAAGGAUGACUGCCCUAUGGGUUGUAAACUUCUUUUAUAUGGGAAUAAAAUGUUCCACGUGUGGGAUUUUGUAUGUACCAUAUGAAUAAGGAUCGGCUAACUCCGUGCCAGCAGCCGCGGUAAUACGGAGGAUCCAAGCGUUAUCCGGAUUUAUUGGGUUUAAAGGGAGCGUAGGUGGAUUGUUAAGUCAGUUGUGAAAGUUUGCGGCUCAACCGUAAAAUUGCAGUUGAAACUGGCAGUCUUGAGUACAGGAGAGGUGGGCGGAAUGCGUGGUGUAGCGGUGAAAUGCUUAGAUAUCACGAAGAACUCCGAUUGCGAAGGCAGUUCACUGGACUGCAACUGACACUGAGGCUCGAAAGUGUGGGUAUCAAACAGGAUUAGAUACCCCUGUAGUC
RNAcentral lists this ribosomal RNA (460 nucleotides) under uncultured bacterium. RNAcentral's name for it is "partial 16S ribosomal RNA". It matches the Rfam family "Bacterial small subunit ribosomal RNA", at positions 338 to 795 of the family's 1533-position model. The record is from RNAcentral.